AGAGUUUGAUCCUGGCUCAGAACGAACGCUGGCGGCGUGCUUAACACAUGCAAGUCGAACGAGAAAGCUUCUUUCGGGAAGUGAGUAGAGUGGCGCACGGGUGAGUAACGCGUAGGUAAUCUACCCUUAUAUUUGGGAUAACAUCGGGAAACUGGUGCUAAUACCGAAUGGUCUUCAUUGCUGCGGGGCGAUGAAGUAAAGGUGGCCUCUUCAUGAAAGCUACCGUGUAGGGAUGAGCUUGCGUACCAUUAGCUAGUAGGUGGGGUAAUGGCCCACCUAGGCAACGAUGGUUAGCGGGUCUGAGAGGAUGAUCCGCCACACUGGAACUGGAACACGGACCAGACUCCUACGGGAGGCAGCAGUGAGGAAUAUUGCGCAAUGGGGGAAACCCUGACGCAGCGACGCCGCGUGAGUGAGGAAGGUUUUCGGAUCGUAAAGCUCUGUCAGAAGGGAAGAAGUGUUAUAUGGUUAAUACCCAUGUAAUUUGACGGUACCUUCAGAGGAAGCACCGGCUAACUCCGUGCCAGCAGCCGCGGUAAUACGGAGGGUGCGAGCGUUGUUCGGAAUUACUGGGCCGUAAAGGGCGCGUAGGCGGCCUGAUAAGUCAGAUGUGAAAGUCCACGGCUCAACCGUGGAAGUGCAUUUGAAACUGUCAGGCUUGAGUAUCGGAGGGGAGUGUGGAAUUCCCGGUGUAGAGGUGAAAUUCGUAGAGAUCGGGAGGAACACCGGUGGCGAAGGCGACACUCUGGACGAAUACUGACGCUGAGGCGCGAAAGCGUGGGGAGCAAACAGGAUUAGAUACCCUGGUAGUCCACGCCGUAAACGAUGUGAACUAGAGAUAGGGGGUGUUGAUCCCUCCUGUCCCGCAGCUAACGCAUUAAGUUCACCGCCUGGGGAGUACGGUCGCAAGAUUAAAACUCAA
This 922-nucleotide ribosomal RNA is filed under the name uncultured delta proteobacterium. RNAcentral describes it as "bacterial SSU rRNA". It matches the Rfam family "Bacterial small subunit ribosomal RNA", at positions 8 to 904 of the family's 1533-position model. Lineage: Bacteria; Deltaproteobacteria. The record is from RNAcentral.